Molecule: long non-coding RNA, 410 nt
Organism: Cyprinus carpio carpio
Lineage: Eukaryota; Metazoa; Chordata; Actinopteri; Cypriniformes; Cyprinidae
Source: Ensembl
CUAGACUGAACUUUAGAAGAUCAACUGUGAAGGUCUUUCACAGGGGAGGCAGAGGCGCUUUCUGAUGAUGGCACCAGAAAUUCUGCAACUGACCGGACUGAUGACAAACUAUGCUUGCAGUCGACCCCAUGACUGGAGGAUAUAUAUGAGACAACGAGAUGCUCAAUUCAUUCUGAGGGCAGAGUAGUGAUGGCAGUUGGGGGUGGAGGACUUAAAUAACUCCUCAAGUUGCUGCAUCUCGCCUACCCGGAUUCAGAUGCUCCCUGUGACCCGGUUUCUCCCAUGUGUGAUUGUCUCAUUUGGUUCAGAUGUGUCUCAUUAAUUACCUAGUUUAGUCCUGUAUUUGAAGUGUUGUCUGCCCUAUGUUCCUUUGUUCGUUGUUAAACGUUUUGAUGUGUUACGUGUAUCUC